This 487-nucleotide ribosomal RNA is filed under the name uncultured bacterium. RNAcentral describes it as "bacterial SSU rRNA". It matches the Rfam family "Bacterial small subunit ribosomal RNA", at positions 29 to 509 of the family's 1533-position model. The record is from RNAcentral.
AGUGAACGCUGGCGGCAGGCCUAAUACAUGCAAGUCGAACGGCAGCACAGCAGAGCUUGCUCUGUGGGUGGCGAGUGGCGGACGGGUGAGGAAUACAUGGGAAUCUGCCCAGUCGUGGGGGAUAACGUAUGGAAACGUACGCUAAUACCGCAUGCGCCCUACGGGGGAAAGCCGGGGACCGCAAGGCCUGGCGCGAUUGGAUGAGCCCAUGUUCGAUUAGCUAGUUGGCGGGGUAAAGGCCCACCAAGGCGACGAUCGGUAGGGGGUCUGAGAGGAUGAUCCCCCACACUGGUACUGAGACACGGACCAGACUCCUACGGGAGGCAGCAGUAAGGAAUAUUGGACAAUGGUCGCAAGACUGAUCCAGCCAUGCCGCGUGCAGGAUGAACGAUCUAUGAUCUGUAAACUGCUUUUGUUCGGGAAUAAACCCCUUCACGUGUGGAGGGCUGAAUGUACCGAAAGAAUAAGGGUCGGCUAACUUCGUGCC